Molecule: transfer RNA, 51 nt
Filed under: Rhynchosia hauthalii
Lineage: Eukaryota; Viridiplantae; Streptophyta; Magnoliopsida; Fabales; Fabaceae
Also listed under: 11 other names
Description: partial tRNA-Gln
Source: RNAcentral
GGCAACGGGUUUUGGUCCCGCUAUUCGGAGGUUCGAAUCCUUCCGUCCCAG